Molecule: ribosomal RNA, 254 nt
Filed under: uncultured bacterium
Lineage: Bacteria
Description: partial 16S ribosomal RNA
Rfam family: Bacterial small subunit ribosomal RNA
Source: RNAcentral
UACGUAGGGGGAAAGCGUUGUUCGGAUUUACUGGGCGUAAAGGGCGCGUAGGCGGCGCGUAAGGUCGGACAUGAAAUCAUUGGGCUUAACCUGAUGGCUGUGACCGAUACUUACGUGCUUGGUGUGCGGGAGAGGCAAUCGGAAUUCUCGGUGUAGCGGUGAAAUGCGUAGAUAUCGAGAGGAACUCCGGUGACGAAGGUGGGUUGCUGGACCGACACUGACGCUGAGGAGCGAAAGCUAGGGGAGCAAACGGG